GUUUCCGCUCCCGGGAUUGGAAUGACUCCUUACCCUCUCCCUUAAAACCCACAUCCUUUCGUCUUUCCCUCUCCUUCCCUCUUUGCUGAUGAGGCAACAGUUUGUUGCGAAAGCUUGAAUUUUAUGUGUAUGUUUGUGUUUGUUUGUGUUCUGUCGACCUGCCAGCACUUUCAUUUGGAUUUACAACAAUUCCAUACGUAGAACGUUAUGACAUCAGAGAUAAUCGUUGGGAUGUUGUGGAGAAAAUGGGUUUGCAUCGCAGUGCAUUAGCUGCUUGUGUAAGCGUAGGGGACGAUGCAGGAGACGGGUACCGCCGUACUAGGCAAGGUCCUAGGUGGUAUGCCGUUGCCUUCCUCUGACCUUAAUGGGGAUGAAUGAUGAUGAAGAAGACGACACAGCAACACCCAGUCAUCUCGAGGCAGGUGAAAAUCCCAGACCCCACCGGGAAUCGAACCCGGGACCCCGUGCUCGGGAAGCAAGAACCCUACCACGAGACCACGAGCUGCGGACUGUUAAAAAUACAUGUAAUUAUAGUUGGUCAUCAUAAGAAUAAACCUGAUUUAAACACACAAUCUGAUGUAAACCCACUACAACCAGCAGCCAUACAACAUGUGCACUCGUUUUGUUACGCUCUUGGAAGUAGGACCUACUCACAUAGUAGAUAAAUGAAACUUUGACAUAUUCUAAUGUAUUAAGAACCAUCAACUUUUCUUAAUCACCUUUUAGCUGGCGUACAGUUGCAGUCUCUGUAGACUCUAAUUGUGCACUGAAUGUCGUACUGUUAAUACAUAAUGUGAAAAUGGCUGAUGCUGCUUCCAUCUCCUUAGUGAAGAUGCAUGUGGAAUACUGUUUAAAAAGUGGCAAGAAAUUGGUUGUUCUUAAUGUUUUUUUACAAGUUUACAGAGAAAAUUCACUUUGAAGUUUUCCUAGGAACUUCAUUUACUACCAUUAAGGUGCUAUUACAGGCGAAGUGCAUAGCUGAAUUGACAGAGUUGGAGAAUGGGGAUGGGGCAUUUUGUGGGUUUCUGAAUUGAGUCUCAUCCUGGUCUACUUUUUCAUUAAGUUCAAAUACCUACAUCAUUUAAAUAUAAAAUUCAACAAAAAUAUGCUAAUUAACAUAUAAUCUAAUCAGAACCUUUUGUGA
Molecule: long non-coding RNA, 1144 nt
Organism: Schistocerca nitens (vagrant locust)
Lineage: Eukaryota; Metazoa; Arthropoda; Insecta; Orthoptera; Acrididae
Exons: 3
Source: RefSeq, a predicted model, not a curated record